Aphidius gifuensis is the source of this 520-nucleotide long non-coding RNA. RefSeq lists it as uncharacterized. Lineage: Eukaryota; Metazoa; Arthropoda; Insecta; Hymenoptera; Braconidae. The transcript is spliced from 4 exons. The record is from RefSeq and is a predicted model, not a curated record.
ACGCACUUCACCCUCGGCGAAAAAAAAAAAACAAAAAAUGACCUUCAUUGUCAUUGGCUGUUGGAAUGCUUUGGAGCGUCUAUUCUCACGAUACACUGCUGUUUGUCGAAACGGAAAUGAGAUUAUUUCGAAUGAUUGGAACAAUAUGGGAUAAGGAUGUUCUUGGUGUGUAGCCCUUAUUCAUCUGAUGAUAUUUUGCCAAACAAGUGAUUCUAUUCGAAGACGACGACCACACUUCAAUUCUAGCUUGUAUAUAUUGUUAUCAUGGAAGACGGUGAUUGUUGGAAUACACACAACAUCCUCAACUUGCCUCUUAGUUGAUGGUGGUUUACGAGAUGCUGUAUAUACUAUUGAGGAAUAUUACCGUCCCUCUUCUGUAUAUAUGCUAUAAAAGAUUUUCCUGGUAACCCCAAAUCCUAUUUGAAGAUUGGAGCAUUCAUUUCCGAUAAGUAUCAAAACCCUUGGAAUAUUUUAUUGAACACUGCAUGGAAAAAAAAAAUAUAAUAUCUUUAACAAUUUU